GGAGUUGUGGCUCAAUGGUAGAGCACUUGCCUAAUGUGUGAGGCACUGGGUUUGAUUCUCAGCACCA
Molecule: transfer RNA, 67 nt
Filed under: Marmota monax (woodchuck)
Lineage: Eukaryota; Metazoa; Chordata; Mammalia; Rodentia; Sciuridae
Description: tRNA.Ile
Source: RNAcentral